Long non-coding RNA from Perca fluviatilis (European perch), 606 nucleotides. RefSeq lists it as uncharacterized. The transcript is spliced from 2 exons. The record is from RefSeq and is a predicted model, not a curated record. Lineage: Eukaryota; Metazoa; Chordata; Actinopteri; Perciformes; Percidae.
GUCGGCGCGGGCAGUUAGCCAGCUAGCUAGCACACCAGUUAGCACACGGAGCGGGCCGCAUGUGGCUGCUCACACACUCGACCAACGUCUGAUAUUUACACAUCAUUUCUGCCCUAAACACCAACCAAAGGCCACCUACGACUACAUAGUCACCUUAACUUUGACAAAGUGUAAGAAAAUGACAGUUAUGUAGGGACAGAAUGUGAAUUUUAAGCGUUUUUAAGAAGAGAGCUCGAUGGAAACACACCGUAUGCGACAAAUGGCCGACAGGGAAAGGAAGAGAAGGCGACCCGGAAGGAGAAUAACUCUUUCUAGUGUUUACGUCGCCACCAUGAAUUGUUGCCCCCUGUUGGAUGUUGGUAUCUUCAAAUCGAUCUAUGCUGCCAUUGGAACCUGACUCCUGCUACCGCUUCACUCCUGCCAUCCACCGGAGCAGACAGCCACCCCCACUGGACCCCCCACCACUAGCCGGCCUACUGUGUUCCUCUGACGGACCCGCUCCUUCCCAGAAAGCACCGACCCGUUCUCCAUCCUGGAAACUUUGACGUGCUUUUCCCCCCUCAGAAACCUGGACUCGAUACUUUAAAUAAAACCUGUUAAUUCACA